RNAcentral lists this ribosomal RNA (471 nucleotides) under uncultured beta proteobacterium. Its description in RNAcentral is "bacterial SSU rRNA". It matches the Rfam family "Bacterial small subunit ribosomal RNA", at positions 254 to 715 of the family's 1533-position model. Lineage: Bacteria; Pseudomonadati; Pseudomonadota; Betaproteobacteria. The record is from RNAcentral.
GGGGUAAAAGCCCACCGCGGCGACAGAUCUAUAGCUGGUCUGAGAGGACGAUCAGCCUCACUGGGACUGAGACACGGCCCAAACUCCUACGGGAGGCAGCAGUGGGGAAUUUUGGACAAUGGGGGCCACCCUGAUCCAUCAAUGCCGCGUGAGUGAAGAAGGCCUUCGGGUUGUAAAGCUCUUUUGUCAGGGAAGAAACACCGGCUCUAACACAGUCCGGGAAUGACGGGACCUGAAGAAUAAGCACCGGCUAACUACGUGCCCGCGGCCGCGGUAAUACGUAGGGUGCAAGCGUUAAUCGGAAUUACUGGGCGUAAAGCGUGCGCAGGCGGUUAUACAAGACAGGCGUGAAAUCCCCGGGCUUAACCUGGGAAUGGCGCCUGUGACUGUAUAGCUAGAGUGUGUCAAAGGGGGGUUAGAAUUCCACGUGUAUCAGAUGAAAUGCGUAGAUAUGUGGAGGAAUACCAAUGG